GGGUUGUGAGGUUAAGCGACUAAGCGUACACGGUGGAUGCCCUGGCAGUCAGAGGCGAUGAAGGACGUGCUAAUCUGCGAAAAGCGUCGGUAAGGUGAUAUGAACCGUUACAGCCGGCGAUGUCCGAAUGGGGAAACCCAGUGCAAUUCGUUGCACUAUCGUUAACUGAAUACAUAGGUUAACGAGGCGAACCGGGGGAACUGAAACAUCUAAGUACCCCGAGGAAAAAAAAUCAACCGAGAUUCCCCCAGUAGCGGCGAGCGAACGGGGAGCAGCCCAGAGUCUGAAUCAGCUUGUGUGUUAGUGGAACGGUCUGGAAAGUCCGACGGUACAGGGUGAUAGUCCCGUACACCAAAAUGCACAGGCUGUGAACUCGAAGAGUAGGGCGGGACACGUGGUAUCCUGUCUGAAUAUGGGGGGACCAUCCUCCAAGGCUAAAUACUCCUGACUGACCGAUAGUGAACCAGUACCGUGAGGGAAAGGCGAAAAGAACCCCGGCGAGGGGAGUGAAAAAGAACCUGAAACCGUGUACGUACAAGCAGUGGGAGCACCUUCGGGUGUGACUGCGUACCUUUUGUAUAAUGGGUCAGCGACUUAUAUUCUGUAGCAAGGUUAACCGUAUAGGGGAGCCGCAGGGAAACCGAGUCUUAACUGGGCGUUAAGUUGCAGGGUAUAGACCCGAAACCCGGUGAUCUAGCCAUGGGCAGGUUGAAGGUUGGGUAACACUAACUGGAGGACCGAACCGACUAAUGUUGAAAAAUUAGCGGAUGACUUGUGGCUGGGGGUGAAAGGCCAAUCAAACCGGGAGAUAGCUGGUUCUCCCCGAAAGCUAUUUAGGUAGCGCCUCGUGAAUUCAUCUUCGGGGUAGAGCACUGUUUCGGCUAGGGGGUCAUCCCGACUUACCAACCCGAUGCAAACUACGAAUACCGAAGAAUGUUAUCACGGGAGACACACGGCGGGUGCUAACGUCCGUCGUGAAGAGGGAAACAACCCAGACCGCCAGCUAAGGUCCCAAAGUCAUGGUUAAGUGGGAAACGAUGUGGGAAGGCACAGACAGCCAGGAUGUUGGCUUAGAAGCAGCCAUCAUUUAAAGAAAGCGUAAUAGCUCACUGGUCGAGUCGGCCUGCGCGGAAGAUGUAACGGGGCUAAACCAUGCACCGAAGCUGCGGCAGCGACACUAUGUGUUGUUGGGUAGGGGAGCGUUCUGUAAGCCUGCGAAGGUGACCUGUGAGGGUUGCUGGAGGUAUCAGAAGUGCGAAUGCUGACAUAAGUAACGAUAAAGCGGGUGAAAAGCCCGCUCGCCGGAAGACCAAGGGUUCCUGUCCAACGUUAAUCGGGGCAGGGUGAGUCGACCCCUAAGGCGAGGCCGAAAGGCGUAGUCGAUGGGAAACAGGUUAAUAUUCCUGUACUUGGUGUUACUGCGAAGGGGGGACGGAGAAGGCUAUGUUAGCCGGGCGACGGUUGUCCCGGUUUAAGCAUGUAGGCUGGUUAUCCAGGCAAAUCCGGAUAAUCAAGGCUGAGGUGUGAUGACGAGGCACUACGGUGCUGAAGUAACAAAUGCCCUGCUUCCAGGAAAAGCCUCUAAGCAUCAGGUAACAUCAAAUCGUACCCCAAACCGACACAGGUGGUCAGGUAGAGAAUACCAAGGCGCUUGAGAGAACUCGGGUGAAGGAACUAGGCAAAAUGGUGCCGUAACUUCGGGAGAAGGCACGCUGGUGUGUAGGUGAAGUCCCUGCGGAUGGAGCUGAGACCAGUCGAAGAUACCAGCUGGCUGCAACUGUUUAUUAAAAACACAGCACUGUGCAAACACGAAAGUGGACGUAUACGGUGUGACGCCUGCCCGGUGCCGGAAGGUUAAUUGAUGGGGUUAUCCGUAAGGAGAAGCUCUUGAUCGAAGCCCCGGUAAACGGCGGCCGUAACUAUAACGGUCCUAAGGUAGCGAAAUUCCUUGUCGGGUAAGUUCCGACCUGCACGAAUGGCGUAAUGAUGGCCAGGCUGUCUCCACCCGAGACUCAGUGAAAUUGAACUCGCUGUGAAGAUGCAGUGUACCCGCGGCAAGACGGAAAGACCCCGUGAACCUUUACUAUAGCUUGACACUGAACAUUGAGCCUUGAUGUGUAGGAUAGGUGGGAGGCUUUGAAGCGUGGACGCCAGUCUGCGUGGAGCCAACCUUGAAAUACCACCCUUUAAUGUUUGAUGUUCUAACGUUGGCCCCUGACCGGGGUUGCGGACAGUGUCUGGUGGGUAGUUUGACUGGGGCGGUCUCCUCCCAAAGCGUAACGGAGGAGCACGAAGGUUAGCUAAUCCUGGUCGGACAUCAGGAGGUUAGUGCAAUGGCAUAAGCUAGCUUGACUGCGAGCGUGACGGCGCGAGCAGGUGCGAAAGCAGGUCAUAGUGAUCCGGUGGUUCUGAAUGGAAGGGCCAUCGCUCAACGGAUAAAAGGUACUCCGGGGAUAACAGGCUGAUACCGCCCAAGAGUUCAUAUCGACGGCGGUGUUUGGCACCUCGAUGUCGGCUCAUCACAUCCUGGGGCUGAAGUAGGUCCCAAGGGUAUGGCUGUUCGCCAUUUAAAGUGGUACGCGAGCUGGGUUUAGAACGUCGUGAGACAGUUCGGUCCCUAUCUGCCGUGGGCGCUGGAGAAUUGAGGGGGGCUGCUCCUAGUACGAGAGGACCGGAGUGGACGCAUCACUGGUGUUCGGGUUGUCAUGCCAAUGGCACUGCCCGGUAGCUAAAUGCGGAAGAGAUAAGUGCUGAAAGCAUCUAAGCACGAAACUUGCCCCGAGAUGAGUUCUCCCUGAGACUUUAAGUCUCCUGAAGGAACGUUAAAGACGAUGACGUUGAUAGGCCGGGUGUGUAAGCGCAGCGAUGCGUUGAGCUAACCGGUACUAAUGAACCGUGAGGCUUAACCUUACAACGCCGAAG
This 2922-nucleotide ribosomal RNA is filed under the name Klebsiella pneumoniae. RNAcentral's name for it is "bacterial LSU rRNA". It matches the Rfam family "Bacterial large subunit ribosomal RNA". Lineage: Bacteria; Pseudomonadati; Pseudomonadota; Gammaproteobacteria; Enterobacterales; Enterobacteriaceae. The record is from RNAcentral.